AACCAAGAAACUACAAGCCCCAGGAUGCAGUGCGCAAUCUGGCUCCUGGAACGAGGACCUCCGUGCGGUGCUGCCCGGCCUUGGCCCUGAACGCGAGAUGUUGACUGUCGUUCGACCAAAAUGUUCAGAAUGAGGAAGCCAAGCGAGGCGCUAUGAAUGACCCCUUAAGUCCCGUAUCCAUGACGUUCGCGGUUUCGCAGAGACCCUGGUAUGCAGGGGAGUGGAAUCUCUAUGGGCCAGCACGAUACGUGCUCGCUGACAACGGACCUCCACGGUCCCAGAGCCUCCAGCGUUUCCUCGGGACGCCGGGGUCGGACGUGAUGUCGCCGUAGAGGAAAAAGGAAGAGGCGGAGCGGGGCGCGGUGACGUCCUUCCAAGAUGGCGGAGAGAGCGUGAAGAAACUGUUGCCCCUUGCCUUGCACUAGAACAAGGGUAAAAUUCCAUUCUGAUAUCAAAAUGCAGUAUUCGCACCACUGUGAGCACCUUUUAGAGAGACUGAACAAACAGCGGGAAGCAGGUUUUCUUUGUGACUGCACCGUAGUGAUUGGGGAAUUCCAGUUUAAAGCUCAUAGGAAUGUGCUUGCCUCAUUUAGUGAGUAUUUUGGUGCGAUCUACAGAAGCACUUCUGAGAACAAUGUCUUCCUUGAUCAGAGUCAAGUGAAGGCUGAUGGAUUUCAGAAGCUGUUGGAGUUUAUAUACACAGGAACUUUAAAUCUUGACAGUUGGAAUGUUAAAGAAAUUCAUCAGGCUGCUGAUUAUCUCAAAGUGGAAGAGGUGGUCACUAAAUGUAAAAUAAAGAUGGAAGAUUUUGCUUUUAUUGCUAAUCCCUCUUCUACAGAGAUAUCUAGUAUUACUGGAAACAUUGAAUUGAAUCAACAGACUUGUCUCCUUACUCUACGAGAUUAUAACAGUCGGGAAAAAUCAGAAGUGUCUACAGAUUUAGUUCAGGCAAAUUCUAAACAAGGGGCUUUAGCAAAGAAGUCAUCUCAAACUAAAAAGAAGAAGAAGGCCUUCAACUCCCAGAAAACAGGACAGAAUAAAACAGUGCAAUAUCCCAGUGACAUUUUAGAGAAUGCAUCUGUCGAAUUAUUCUUAGAUGCAAAUAAAUUGUCUAGCCCUGUAGUAGAACAAGUUGCACAAAGAAAUGAUAAUUCAGAACUUGAGUUGACAUCAGUCGUGGAAAAUACUUUUCCAGCACAAGAUAUUGUGCAAACUGUUACAGUGAAACGGAAGCGUGGAAAAUCACAGCCAAACUGUGCUCUGAAAGAACAUUCUAUGUCCAAUAUAGCCAGUGUCAAGAAUUCUUAUGAGCCGGAGAGCUCUGGGGAAGAGCUGGAUCAGAGGUAUUCCAAGGCCAAGCCAAUGUGUAACACGUGUGGGAAAGUGUUUUCGGAAGCCAGCAGCUUGAGAAGGCACAUGAGAAUACAUAAAGGAGUUAAACCUUAUGUCUGCCACUUGUGUGGAAAGGCAUUUACCCAGUGUAACCAGCUGAAAACGCAUGUAAGAACUCAUACAGGUGAGAAGCCAUAUAAGUGUGAAUUGUGUGAUAAAGGAUUUGCUCAGAAAUGCCAGCUAGUCUUCCAUAGUCGUAUGCAUCAUGGUGAGGAAAAACCUUAUAAAUGUGAUGUAUGCAAUUUACAAUUUGCAACCUCUAGCAAUCUCAAGAUUCAUGCAAGGAAGCAUAGUGGAGAGAAGCCAUAUGUCUGUGAUAGGUGUGGACAGAGAUUUGCUCAAGCCAGCACGUUGACCUAUCAUGUUCGUCGGCACACUGGAGAAAAGCCGUAUGUGUGUGAUACUUGUGGGAAGGCAUUUGCUGUCUCUAGUUCUCUUAUCACUCAUUCUCGAAAACAUACAGGUGAAAAACCAUACAUAUGUGGUAUUUGUGGGAAAAGUUUUAUUUCCUCAGGAGAGCUCAACAAACACUUUCGAUCCCAUACAGGAGAAAGGCCAUUUAUCUGCGAAUUAUGUGGAAAUUCCUACACAGAUAUUAAAAAUUUAAAGAAGCACAAGACAAAAGUCCAUUCUGGUGCAGAUAAACUUCUAGAUUCUAGUAUAGAGGAUCAUCCAUUGAGUGAACAAGAUUCCGUACAAAAAAGUCCUUUAUCAGAAACACUGGAUGUGAAGCCCUCUGAUAUGACUUUACCACUCUCUCUUCCUCUUGGAACUGAGGACCACCACAUCCUUCUGCCUGUCACAGAUAAUCAGUCUCCCACAUCAGAUACGUUACUGAGAUCAGCUGUGAAUGGGUAUUCAGAACCACAGUUGAUUUUUUUACAGCAAUUAUACUGACUUUGUGAGGAAUAUGGAAUUGCUAAGACGUCUCUGGUAGUAAACAUAAACAUCUCUGGAAUUUAUUGGAAUGUGAAGAAAUUAAAGAAAAUUAAAAGACUCAGCCUCUUUAAGAAGUCUGCUGAAAUGGAGAGGUUAUAUUUAAUUCAUAUCUUCAUUAAUCCAAGCAUCUAAAGAAUAUCAUUUCAAAAACUGCUACAGUGAUGUCAAAAUUUUAUGUGAGCUGUAGUUACCAAAUUUCUUCUAAUAAUGGUGGUAAUUAGCAUUUUAUAUAGAUUAGUCUUCAAAUUUAUUAAUAUUAUUGGAUUGGGAUGGCUAAGGUUGAUUUACUGUGCUUUUUCUCCAUCACAUUAUCUGCUUCGUAGCAAAGUACUUUUAUUAUUUUAAAUUGACAUGGCUCUCCCAGAGUGACAUGUGAGAAAUCUUGAAGGCUGAGGUCCCUGUCUUGUCUUUCUUCUCAUAAUGCUGUACUUUUCUUCAUCAUAAUAUGCUUAUAUUUCAGUUGUAUUUGGUGUCAUUCUAACAGUCAUAAUUUUAAUUAAGUCCAGUUAUAAAUAUAUUUGUUACAAUGCAAUUUGGGAAAGGUCUGUUUUUAAUUAAAUAUUACUACAUUUUUGAAAGUCUGUUUAGGAUGUUGAAGAUCUCACUUGAGAAAUUAUUUUCUAAAAUAAUUUUGUAUGUUAGAUUAUUCCUACUGUAUUGUUAGAUUUUAGACUUUUUAAAAGGAAACCAUAGAUUAUAUAUAAAUGAUUUUUUGCUGUUUUUAAA
RNA transcript from Suricata suricatta (meerkat), 3057 nucleotides. It is a transcript of the gene named myoneurin, with no coding region annotated. The record is from RefSeq and is a predicted model, not a curated record. NCBI's taxonomy places the organism in Eukaryota, Metazoa, Chordata, Mammalia, Carnivora, Herpestidae. The transcript has 9 exons.